RNAcentral lists this ribosomal RNA (253 nucleotides) under uncultured bacterium. RNAcentral's name for it is "partial 16S ribosomal RNA". It matches the Rfam family "Bacterial small subunit ribosomal RNA", at positions 524 to 776 of the family's 1533-position model. The record is from RNAcentral.
UACGAAGGGGGCUAGCGUUGUUCGGAAUUACUGGGCGUAAAGCGUAUGUAGGCGGAUUGUUAAGUCAGGGGUGAAAUCCUGGAGCUCAACUCCAGAACUGCCUUUGAUACUGGCGAUCUUGAGUCCGGGAGAGGUGAGUGGAACUGCGAGUGUAGAGGUGAAAUUCGUAGAUAUUCGCAAGAACACCAGUGGCGAAGGCGGCUCACUGGCCCGGUACUGACGCUGAGGUGCGAAAGCGUGGGGAGCAAACAGG